GAAAAUGAGACAAUAAUCCGAAAACAAGACAAUAAUUAGAGUUCAGCAUACAGUCGUAACAAUACAUGACAAAUGUGCACAGUACAGCCAACUACAGCAUGGCCACUGACUUAAACAAGGAAAUGACACACUUCAUAUGAUUAGGAAAAGAGGAUCAAAAUGUGCUCGCUACUUCAUGAUGUUAAAAAAAAAGAGACAAAAGGAUAAUAUCAUUAGACAAAAACAUUGUGAAACUGAAUAUGCAAGAAGCACCUUAUGAAAUCAUCCUUAUAUGAAUAAAGGAACAAGUCAGAAAAAGAGGAGAACAGUUGAUUAUCAUAGGAAGUCGAUUGUUUGUUGAAAAAUGUCC
This 349-nucleotide long non-coding RNA is filed under the name Mytilus galloprovincialis (Mediterranean mussel). Lineage: Eukaryota; Metazoa; Mollusca; Bivalvia; Mytilida; Mytilidae. The record is from RNAcentral.